RNAcentral lists this unclassified non-coding RNA (87 nucleotides) under Pseudomonas cedrina. Lineage: Bacteria; Pseudomonadati; Pseudomonadota; Gammaproteobacteria; Pseudomonadales; Pseudomonadaceae. The record is from RNAcentral.
UGUGGGAGCUGGCUUGCCUGCGAUGCAGACACUUCGGUACAACAGAUGUACCGAGGUGAUGCCAUCGCAGGCAAGCCAGCUCCCACA